Molecule: non-coding RNA, 73 nt
Organism: Parelaphostrongylus tenuis
Lineage: Eukaryota; Metazoa; Nematoda; Chromadorea; Rhabditida; Metastrongylidae
Source: the annotation of a GenBank genome assembly
GCGUCGGUAGUGCAACGGGUUAACACACGCUCCCGGACAGAGUGAAAUGUGGGUUCAAAAUCCACCUGAGGCA